AGAGUUUGAUCCUGGCUCAGGAUGAACGCUGGCGGCGUGCCUAACACAUGCAAGUCGAACGGAGUUCUUAAGGAAUGCGACUUCGGUCAAAUGACUUUUGAACUUAGUGGCGGACGGGUGAGUAACGCGUGAGCAACCUGCCUUUCAGAGGGGGAUAACAUUUGGAAACAGAUGCUAAUACCGCAUAAGAUUACAGUACCGCAUGAUACAGUGAUCAAAGGAGCAAUCCGCUGAAAGAUGGGCUCGCGUCCGAUUAGAUAGUUGGUGAGGUAACGGCUCACCAAGUCGACGAUCGGUAGCCGGACUGAGAGGUUGAACGGCCACAUUGGGACUGAGACACGGCCCAGACUCCUACGGGAGGCAGCAGUGGGGAAUAUUGCACAAUGGGCGAAAGCCUGAUGCAGCAACGCCGCGUGAGGGAAGACGGUUUUCGGAUUGUAAACCUCUGUUUUCGGUGACGAAUAAAUGACGGUAACCGAGUAGGAAGCCACGGCUAACUACGUGCCAGCAGCCGCGGUAAUACGUAGGUGGCAAGCGUUAUCCGGAAUUACUGGGUGUAAAGGGAGCGCAGGCGGGAUAGCAAGUCAGCUGUGAAAACUAUGGGCUCAACCCAUAAACUGCAGUUGAAACUGUUAUUCUUGAGUGGAGUAGAGGCAAGCGGAAUUCCGAGUGUAGCGGUGAAAUGCGUAGAUAUUCGGAGGAACACCAGUGGCGAAGGCGGCUUGCUGGGCUCUAACUGACGCUGAGGCUCGAAAGUGUGGGGAGCAAACAGGAUUAGAUACCCUGGUAGUCCACACUGUAAACGAUGA
This 809-nucleotide ribosomal RNA is filed under the name uncultured bacterium. RNAcentral describes it as "bacterial SSU rRNA". It matches the Rfam family "Bacterial small subunit ribosomal RNA", at positions 8 to 812 of the family's 1533-position model. The record is from RNAcentral.